UUAAGCGACUAAGCGUACACGGUGGAUGCCCUGGCAGUCAGAGGCGAUGAAGGACGUGCUAAUCUGCGAUAAGCGUCGGUAAGGUGAUAUGAACCGUUAUAACCGGCGAUUUCCGAAUGGGGAAACCCAGUGUGUUUCGACACACUAUCAUUAACUGAAUCCAUAGGUUAAUAAGGCGAACCGGGGGAACUGAAACAUCUAAGUACCCCGAGGAAAAGAAAUCAACCGAGAUUCCCCCAGUAGCGGCGAGCGAACGGGGAGCAGCCCAGAGCCUGAAUCAGUGUGUGUGUUAGUGGAAGCGUCUGGAAAGGCGCGCGAUACAGGGUGACAGCCCCGUACACAAAAAUGCACAUGCUGUGAGCUCGAUGAGUAGGGCGGGACACGUGGUAUCCUGUCUGAAUAUGGGGGGACCAUCCUCCAAGGCUAAAUACUCCUGACUGACCGAUAGUGAACCAGUACCGUGAGGGAAAGGCGAAAAGAACCCCGGCGAGGGGAGUGAAAAAGAACCUGAAACCGUGUACGUACAAGCAGUGGGAGCACGCUUAGGCGUGUGACUGCGUACCUUUUGUAUAAUGGGUCAGCGACUUAUAUUCUGUAGCAAGGUUAACCGAAUAGGGGAGCCGAAGGGAAACCGAGUCUUAACUGGGCGUUAAGUUGCAGGGUAUAGACCCGAAACCCGGUGAUCUAGCCAUGGGCAGGUUGAAGGUUGGGUAACACUAACUGGAGGACCGAACCGACUAAUGUUGAAAAAUUAGCGGAUGACUUGUGGCUGGGGGUGAAAGGCCAAUCAAACCGGGAGAUAGCUGGUUCUCCCCGAAAGCUAUUUAGGUAGCGCCUCGUGAAUUCAUCUCCGGGGGUAGAGCACUGUUUCGGCAAGGGGGUCAUCCCGACUUACCAACCCGAUGCAAACUGCGAAUACCGGAGAAUGUUAUCACGGGAGACACACGGCGGGUGCUAACGUCCGUCGUGAAGAGGGAAACAACCCAGACCGCCAGCUAAGGUCCCAAAGUCAUGGUUAAGUGGGAAACGAUGUGGGAAGGCCCAGACAGCCAGGAUGUUGGCUUAGAAGCAGCCAUCAUUUAAAGAAAGCGUAAUAGCUCACUGGUCGAGUCGGCCUGCGCGGAAGAUGUAACGGGGCUAAACCAUGCACCGAAGCUGCGGCAGCGACGCUGAUGCGUUGUUGGGUAGGGGAGCGUUCUGUAAGCCUGCGAAGGUGUGCUGUGAGGCAUGCUGGAGGUAUCAGAAGUGCGAAUGCUGACAUAAGUAACGAUAAAGCGGGUGAAAAGCCCGCUCGCCGGAAGACCAAGGGUUCCUGUCCAACGUUAAUCGGGGCAGGGUGAGUCGACCCCUAAGGCGAGGCCGAAAGGCGUAGUCGAUGGGAAACAGGUUAAUAUUCCUGUACUUGGUGUUACUGCGAAGGGGGGACGGAGAAGGCUAUGUUGGCCGGGCGACGGUUGUCCCGGUUUAAGCGUGUAGGCUGGUUUUCCAGGCAAAUCCGGAAAAUCAAGGCUGAGGCGUGAUGACGAGGCACUACGGUGCUGAAGCAACAAAUGCCCUGCUUCCAGGAAAAGCCUCUAAGCAUCAGGUAACAUCAAAUCGUACCCCAAACCGACACAGGUGGUCAGGUAGAGAAUACCAAGGCGCUUGAGAGAACUCGGGUGAAGGAACUAGGCAAAAUGGUGCCGUAACUUCGGGAGAAGGCACGCUGAUAUGUAGGUGAAGUCCCUCGCGGAUGGAGCUGAAAUCAGUCGAAGAUACCAGCUGGCUGCAACUGUUUAUUAAAAACACAGCACUGUGCAAACACGAAAGUGGACGUAUACGGUGUGACGCCUGCCCGGUGCCGGAAGGUUAAUUGAUGGGGUUAGCCGCAAGGCGAAGCUCUUGAUCGAAGCCCCGGUAAACGGCGGCCGUAACUAUAACGGUCCUAAGGUAGCGAAAUUCCUUGUCGGGUAAGUUCCGACCUGCACGAAUGGCGUAAUGAUGGCCAGGCUGUCUCCACCCGAGACUCAGUGAAAUUGAACUCGCUGUGAAGAUGCAGUGUACCCGCGGCAAGACGGAAAGACCCCGUGAACCUUUACUAUAGCUUGACACUGAACAUUGAGCCUUGAUGUGUAGGAUAGGUGGGAGGCUUUGAAGUGUGGACGCCAGUCUGCAUGGAGCCGACCUUGAAAUACCACCCUUUAAUGUUUGAUGUUCUAACGUUGACCCGUAAUCCGGGUUGCGGACAGUGUCUGGUGGGUAGUUUGACUGGGGCGGUCUCCUCCUAAAGAGUAACGGAGGAGCACGAAGGUUGGCUAAUCCUGGUCGGACAUCAGGAGGUUAGUGCAAUGGCAUAAGCCAGCUUGACUGCGAGCGUGACGGCGCGAGCAGGUGCGAAAGCAGGUCAUAGUGAUCCGGUGGUUCUGAAUGGAAGGGCCAUCGCUCAACGGAUAAAAGGUACUCCGGGGAUAACAGGCUGAUACCGCCCAAGAGUUCAUAUCGACGGCGGUGUUUGGCACCUCGAUGUCGGCUCAUCACAUCCUGGGGCUGAAGUAGGUCCCAAGGGUAUGGCUGUUCGCCAUUUAAAGUGGUACGCGAGCUGGGUUUAGAACGUCGUGAGACAGUUCGGUCCCUAUCUGCCGUGGGCGCUGGAGAACUGAGGGGGGCUGCUCCUAGUACGAGAGGACCGGAGUGGACGCAUCACUGGUGUUCGGGUUGUCAUGCCAAUGGCACUGCCCGGUAGCUAAAUGCGGAAGAGAUAAGUGCUGAAAGCAUCUAAGCACGAAACUUGCCCCGAGAUGAGUUCUCCCUGACUCCUUGAGAGUCCUGAAGGAACGUUGAAGACGACGACGUUGAUAGGCCGGGUGUGUAAGCGCAGCGAUGCGUUGAGCUAACCGGUACUAAUGAACCGUGAGGCUUAACCUU
Molecule: ribosomal RNA, 2904 nt
Filed under: Escherichia coli
Lineage: Bacteria; Pseudomonadati; Pseudomonadota; Gammaproteobacteria; Enterobacterales; Enterobacteriaceae
Description: bacterial LSU rRNA
Rfam family: Bacterial large subunit ribosomal RNA
Source: RNAcentral